AUCUAUGGUCACACCACCCUGAACAUGCCCUAUCUUGUCUGAUCCCGGAGGCUAAGCAGGGUUGGACGGUUACUACUUAGAUG
RNAcentral lists this ribosomal RNA (83 nucleotides) under Capra hircus (goat). Lineage: Eukaryota; Metazoa; Chordata; Mammalia; Artiodactyla; Bovidae. The record is from RNAcentral.